GCCUCCUUAGUGUUAAUGGUUUAGCAAACCUGCCUUGUAAACAGGGAGUCUCAGUUCGAUUCUGAGGGGAGGCU
RNAcentral lists this transfer RNA (74 nucleotides) under Crassvirales sp. Its description in RNAcentral is "tRNA-Thr". It matches the Rfam family "tRNA". Rfam says of the family: Transfer RNA (tRNA) molecules are approximately 80 nucleotides in length. Their secondary structure includes four short double-helical elements and three loops (D, anti-codon, and T loops). Further hydrogen bonds mediate the characteristic L-shaped molecular structure. tRNAs have two regions of fundamental functional importance: the anti-codon, which is responsible for specific mRNA codon recognition, and the 3' end, to which the tRNAs corresponding amino acid is attached (by aminoacyl-tRNA synthetases). tRNAs cope with the degeneracy of the genetic code in two manners: having more than one tRNA (with a specific anti-codon) for a particular amino acid; and 'wobble' base-pairing, i.e. permitting non-standard base-pairing at the 3rd anti-codon position. The record is from RNAcentral. Lineage: Duplodnaviria; Heunggongvirae; Uroviricota; Caudoviricetes; Crassvirales.